Molecule: ribosomal RNA, 492 nt
Filed under: uncultured bacterium
Lineage: Bacteria
Description: partial 16S ribosomal RNA
Rfam family: Bacterial small subunit ribosomal RNA
Source: RNAcentral
AGUGAACGCUGGCGGUAGGCCUAACACAUGCAAGUCGAACGGACGCACAGUAAGAGCUUGCUCUUACGGGUGGCGAGUGGCGGACGGGUGAGGCAUACAUCGGAAUCUACUUUUUCGUGGGGGAUAACGUAGGGAAACUUACGCUAAUACCGCAUACGACCUACGGGUGAAAGCAGGGGAUCUUCGGACCUUGCGCGACUGAAUGAGCCGAUGUCGGAUUAGCUAGUUGGCGGGGUAAAGGCCCACCAAGGCGACGAUCCGUAGCUGGUCUGAGAGGAUGAUCAGCCACACUGGAACUGAGACACGGUCCAGACUCCUACGGGAGGCAGCAGUAGGGAAUAUUGGACAAUGGGCGCAAGCCUGAUACAGCAAUACCGCGUGAGUGAAGAAGGCCUUCGGGUUGUAAAGCGCUUUUGUUGGGAAAGAAAAAAAGCAGGUUAAUACCACACUGUUCUGACGGUACCCAAAGAAUAAGCACCGGCUAACUACGUG